AUUGAACGCUGGCGGCAGGCCUAACACAUGCAAGUCGAGCGAGCGGCGGACGGGUGAGUAAUGUAUGGGGACUGCCCGAUAGAGGGGGAUAACUACUGGAAAAGGUAGCUACUACCGCAUACUAUCGGAUAACCCAUAUGGGAUUAGCUGGUAGGUGGGGUACUGGCUCACCUAGGCGAGGAUCCCUAGCUGGUCUGAGAGGAUGAUCAGCCACACUGGAACUGAGACACGGCCCGGACUCCUACGGAGGCAGCAGGGGGGAAUUUUGGACAAGGGGCGCAAGCCUGAUGCGGCCAUGCGGCGGGUAUGAAGAAGGCCCUAGGGUUGUAAAGUACUUUCAGUCGGGAGGCGUUACCGACAGAAGAAGCACCGGCUAACUCCGUGCCAGCAGCCGCGGUAAUUC
Molecule: ribosomal RNA, 403 nt
Filed under: uncultured bacterium
Lineage: Bacteria
Description: partial 16S ribosomal RNA
Rfam family: Bacterial small subunit ribosomal RNA
Source: RNAcentral